AACGAUACGUAGAACUGCGGUGAGUUUUCCUUGUGAUCUAUUAUAUUGCAAUACACAGGUACUAUAUGUAGCAACUUGUUAUUGGUAAACACCAGCGCAUCUUAUUGUAUCGUCUUUCGAAUAUCAAACUGAAUAGCGAAAGAACACUGCCUCAGCACCUUUCGUUAAAAUCAUAGAAACGGUUUUUUAACCGACUUGGAAUUUGUUGGAAUAUGUUCAAAGCAAUAAUCUUUGAUCUUUUCCUGCUAGACGAAACAAAAAACCUUGCAACAAUGAGUCAAAUUCUUAGGAAAAAGCAGUUUUGAGUGAUAAUAUAAUUCCUUUCAAUGUUUUGUUUGUCUUGUAUACUCUUGGGAUGAAGGUUAAGAAACACCAAACAACUGAAAAGAUAGAGUUAAAAACUUAUCUUUGUUUUAUUUUAAUUUUGUCUUUAGAAAAUUGACAUCAUAGAUGAGUACAGGUUAGAAUUAAGUU
Non-coding RNA from Schizosaccharomyces pombe (fission yeast), 474 nucleotides. The record is from the annotation of a GenBank genome assembly. Lineage: Eukaryota; Fungi; Ascomycota; Schizosaccharomycetes; Schizosaccharomycetales; Schizosaccharomycetaceae.